RNAcentral lists this ribosomal RNA (253 nucleotides) under uncultured bacterium. Its description in RNAcentral is "partial 16S ribosomal RNA". It matches the Rfam family "Bacterial small subunit ribosomal RNA", at positions 524 to 776 of the family's 1533-position model. The record is from RNAcentral.
UACGAAGGGGGCUAGCGUUGCUCGGAAUCACUGGGCGUAAAGCGCACGUAGGCGGCUUCUUAAGUCAGGGGUGAAAUCCUGGAGCUCAACUCCAGAACUGCCCUUGAUACUGAGAGGCUAGAGUCCGGGAGAGGGAUGCGGAAUUCCAGGUGUAGCGGUGAAAUGCGUAGGUAUCUGGAGGAACACCGGUGGCGAAGGCGGCAUCCUGGACCGGUAUUGACGCUGAGGCGCGAAAGCUAGGGGAGCAAACGGG